Molecule: unclassified non-coding RNA, 345 nt
Filed under: soil metagenome
Description: partial contains 5.8S ribosomal RNA, internal transcribed spacer 2, and large subunit ribosomal RNA
Rfam family: 5.8S ribosomal RNA (bases 1-120)
Source: RNAcentral
GAUGAAGAACGUAGCGAAAUGCGAUACGUAAUGUGAAUUGCAGAAUUCAGUGAAUCAUCGAGUCUUUGAACGCACAUUGCGCCCCCUGGUAUUCCGGGGGGCAUGCCUGUCCGAGCGUCAUUGCUGCCCUCAAGCACGGCUUGUGUGUUGGGCCUCCGUCCUCCUCCCGGGGGACGGGCCCGAAAGGCAGCGGCGGCACCGCGUCCGGUCCUCGAGCGUAUGGGGCUUCGUCACCCGCUCUUGUAGGCCCGGCCGGCGCUUGCCGACACAUCAAUCUUUUUUCCAGGUUGACCUCGGAUCAGGUAGGGAUACCUGCUGAACUUAAGCAUAUCAAUAAGCGGAGGA